Molecule: long non-coding RNA, 1637 nt
Filed under: Homo sapiens (human)
Lineage: Eukaryota; Metazoa; Chordata; Mammalia; Primates; Hominidae
Description: HSALNT0094298
Source: RNAcentral
CUUGGAGACAGCGGCUGGCGGGUCAAUGCCGAAGCCGGCACCAGCCACUGCGGUGGUGCCCUUGUUGACCGGGUUCUUGAUGCCCUGGCUCGCUGAGGCCCUCACCCUCCUUCCAGCCCAUCUUCAUCAGCACGUUCUCCUCGGUGAGCUUGAACUCCUUGUACUCCGAGUAGUCAGGCUCGCGACCCUCCUUCAGGGCCUUGAAAGUCUCCAUAAACUUCUCCAGCUUGUCUGGAGGUAGGAAGUCUCCGAUGAAGUGCUUGCCUCGGCUCAUCUUCGUCAGCUGCUCGGCCCAUUCCCUCGUCUUGUUCAUCUCCAUGCGCUGCAGCUGGUGCUCCCAGGUGCGCAGCUCGCUGCUCACCUCCUCGUCGCUGUGGUAGCCGUGCUGGUGCUGCUGCACCGCCUUCUCCCACAGCAGCUGCAUAUCCUGCAUGGCCCACUUGUGCUGCAUGAUCAUGUCGUACAUCUGAUGCAUCUCCUGCUGGUCCUUCAGCUGCUGCUUCUGGGAGCACGAUAGCUCCGUGAGGCCCGCUAGACCCACGGACUUCCCGUUCUCAUAGCCGAGCCCCUUGAGGUCCUGAACUGACAGAGGUGAGGGAGAGGCAUCCACGUCCCUCUGCACCAGCUCAGCAGGUCAUUGUUUCCCAAACUAGAUGCUGAAUCCCGGUGAGACUGUGAAGAUAUUGUGAGCGUUCUUGGAGAUCAGAGCAGAAAACAUCCAUCGGAGAAUGGCCCUGUCUGAGAGAUAUGUUACCCUAAACACCAAGACUCAAUAUAUAUGACUUAAGAAAAAAAAGAUCCUUAUGCACUAUCUGAAGGUGAUGCUUCCUGACUUUUGCAACAGAAAGAAUGCUGUCUUCCUGUGCCUGCGGAGAUGAUAAUCAAGCUGGCACACUGACAAUCAAUGUAAAUUCAUUAAACAAAACAGGAAGUAAACAGAUUGAGAUUGUCAUGACAAUGUGUCUCCUCCCCUUUCCUUUCUGAUUCUGGGUUGAACCCCAAGGAAACAUGAUGAACCAGGUUGCAUGACUGUGAAGGCAGGAUAAAAGAAAAGCAGAAGAACCACAUUAAUCAUGGCAGACAUUGAUGAAGAAGGACAAUGAGGUUUUUCUGGUGGGUUUCUGGAGAAAUCAACUGUCAACAUUCUGCAAAACAAUCACUGACUCAAAAAACUCAAGAAGGGAGUAAAGAUAAUUAAUAAAGUAAGUUAAGUUGUAUUAUACCCACAAAUACAAACCAGUGGAAUCAUUUCUGGGUAACAUAUUGAGCUAAUAAAGUAGUAAAAAGGUGUCAAUGAUUUUAGGUAAAAGAUAUUGCCACCCCACUCUUCUUAUGUGGCGAUGCCUAAAGAAGAGAUCGCGCUGGCUGCAAUAAUGCCCCAAUGGUCAAGAUAUGCCAGUUAUUCAAAUUGGAAAAUCCAGGUAUAUUCAUGGAACUUACCAAUCUUUGGUUACUAGUAGGAAGUCUGCACAAGCAGCAACUACCACAGUUGUUCUAAAAACAGGGUGACAAAAGGCCACUCUUUCAGGCUAUGAAGACAUUUUGGCUUUUGUUUUCACAAUUAGAGACUCAGCAGCUUUCUGGACAGAAACUGCUGGAGUCCAGGCUAUGGCAUACUUGUUUCAUCUGCCCUCUCC